GACCUUGUGGUGUACUGGUGUGCACGCCGGGAUAUGAAACCGGAGGGUAUGGUUCGAUUCCAUACAUGGUCA
Molecule: non-coding RNA, 72 nt
Organism: Orbilia javanica
Lineage: Eukaryota; Fungi; Ascomycota; Orbiliomycetes; Orbiliales; Orbiliaceae
Source: the annotation of a GenBank genome assembly